This is a long non-coding RNA of Salvia hispanica, 600 nucleotides long. RefSeq lists it as uncharacterized. Lineage: Eukaryota; Viridiplantae; Streptophyta; Magnoliopsida; Lamiales; Lamiaceae. The record is from RefSeq and is a predicted model, not a curated record.
GGCGAUUUGAGUUCUUAGCAUGAAGGGAGAAGUGAGGAGGGAGAGGAAACGAAAACCCCACUCCAAGCUCUCUAACUUCCUCUCAAACUUACUAUCAAACUUGCUACUGAAUUUUUGAUAUGUGUGGAAGGGAGAAAUUUAUGCAUAUGAUGGGGUUUUUAUAGGCCAACUUGGUGUACUUUGGGAGGAUUAAAUGGGGCUUAUCCUCUUUUGUUUUCAUGCCGCAGCACAUCCCCUUAAUUGGUCCUCACAGCUGCACUUUUACUUAAGGAUUUUUGGUGGCAUUUGUGGUACUAGCAAGAAUGCAGGUGCUGCCAUAGUGUGGAGGAUUUGCAGGUUUUGACUUACCUUUAUUGGAAAAUGUGACUUGGCUGCCGCAUUGCUGUCCGAGGCAUGGGCUCGCUGCCCUGGGCGCGACGGGCUGUUCGGAACGGUCCGUGAUUUGGGCUUGGGAGAAAGAGGCCCAAAGUGCAAGCAAUAUAGCAAUAUAGUUUCUUAAGCUCUAGGCCCAUACUUGUGUAUUUUUUAAUAGCAUCCAUAAUUCCCUUUUCUUCAAUUCAUAAACCCACAUGAAUUUAGUUAUGUAAGUUAAAGUGUAGU